CCUACGGGUGGCUGCAGUGGGGAAUAUUGGACAAUGGGCGAAAGCCUGAUCCAGCCAUGCCGCGUGUGUGAAGAAGGCCUUCGGGUUGUAAAGCACUUUCAGUGGGGAAGAAAGCCUUGGGGCUAAUACCCUCGAGGAAGGACAUCACCCACAGAAGAAGCACCGGCUAACUCCGUGCCAGCAGCCGCGGUAAUACGGAGGGUGCGAGCGUUAAUCGGAAUUACUGGGCGUAAAGCGCUCGUAGGCGGUCUGAUAAGCCGGUUGUGAAAGCCCCGGGCUCAACCUGGGAACGGCAUCCGGAACUGUCAGGCUAGAGUGCAGGAGAGGAAGGUAGAAUUCCCGGUGUAGCGGUGAAAUGCGUAGAGAUCGGGAGGAAUACCAGUGGCGAAGGCGGCCUUCUGGACUGACACUGACGCUGAGGUGCGAAAGCGUGGGUAGCAAACAGGAUUAGAUACCCCAGUAGUC
This 465-nucleotide ribosomal RNA is filed under the name Vreelandella stevensii. Its description in RNAcentral is "partial 16S ribosomal RNA". It matches the Rfam family "Bacterial small subunit ribosomal RNA", at positions 338 to 795 of the family's 1533-position model. The record is from RNAcentral. Lineage: Bacteria; Pseudomonadati; Pseudomonadota; Gammaproteobacteria; Oceanospirillales; Halomonadaceae.